RNAcentral lists this long non-coding RNA (253 nucleotides) under Lathyrus oleraceus (garden pea). Its description in RNAcentral is "Pisum sativum (pea) long non-coding RNA (PSAT_LNC012272)". Lineage: Eukaryota; Viridiplantae; Streptophyta; Magnoliopsida; Fabales; Fabaceae. The record is from RNAcentral.
UCGUGUGAAUUGUAAGCCAUUCAAUUCAUCCAUAGAUGAUUGAAUUGGUCUGAUUUUUGAGUUGUAAUUUGUCACUCUAAGCUUUUAAGCAUGAGUGUGUGUUUACUUGAUUGAAGCUUUUAAUAUGAUUGAAUUGGUCUGAUUUUUGAGUUGUAAUUUGUCACUCUAAGCUUUUAAGCAUGAGUGUGUGUUUACUUGAUUGAAGCUUUUAAGUAAGAUCAAGUAUGUGUCUUUGAAGAGUGUCUUCUUUUUU